Molecule: long non-coding RNA, 631 nt
Organism: Monomorium pharaonis (pharaoh ant)
Lineage: Eukaryota; Metazoa; Arthropoda; Insecta; Hymenoptera; Formicidae
Exons: 3
Source: RefSeq, a predicted model, not a curated record
GAGUGAGAGAUACUUUAGCAAACUAUAAUUGCCUAAACUUGAGCUAACAAUGUCAAAAAAGAUGGUGUUUGGUCAAAAAAAGUAGCCAAUCUACGAUAGUGGGAUUUUGGGCAAAGACAACUAAUAAAAACACUAGGAAAUUGAAAUCAGUGACAGAUGAGAAAACUGAUUUAAAUAAUGAACAAUUGUCCAAUAAUUCCUGUCUUGAUAAACAAAGGUUAGCUGGAGACUCGGUAACAAUAGAUGCGAUAAUAAAUCUGGAUAACUCAGACAGUUCAGAUUCGUACAAGAGCCCACUUAAAGUACAACUAAAUACAGUUGUAAUACAACGGAAUUGUAUCAUGUUAAAAGCCCAACAGAGAAAAAAGAUGAAAUUGAAAAAGAAUUUGGAUUUUCAAAGUUAUUGCGAAAGAACAGCAACUCUCUGAAAACUUGUGUUAUUUCUGAAUCUUCUGAUAGUGAGAAAGAUGAAAAUAAUGUGAGAAGAUGCUUGCGUUUAAAUCCAAAUAAAUUGGAAAUGAAAGAUGAGAAAAGCAAGCUGUCAUUUCACAAAUGUAUAAGUAUGAUAAAUACAACAGUGAAGAUUUUCCUUCUUCUAGUGGUGCAACAUUGUUAGAGGAAAAUAGGCAAA